This 374-nucleotide ribosomal RNA is filed under the name uncultured organism. RNAcentral's name for it is "bacterial SSU rRNA". It matches the Rfam family "Bacterial small subunit ribosomal RNA", at positions 526 to 896 of the family's 1533-position model. The record is from RNAcentral.
CGUAGGGUCCUAGCGUUGUCCGGAUUUAUUGGGCGUAAAGAGCUCGUAGGCGGUUCGGCAAGUCGGAUGUGAAAUCUCCACGCUUAACGUGGAGGGGCCAUUCGAAACUGCCGUGACUUGAGUCCGGUAGGGGGGUGUGGAAUUCCCGGUGUAGCGGUGAAAUGCGCAGAUAUCGGGAGGAACACCAGUAGCGAAGGCGGCACCCUGGGCCGGUACUGACGCUGAGGAGCGAAAGCGUGGGGAGCAAACAGGAUUAGAUACCCUGGUAGUCCACGCCGUAAACGUUGGGCACUAGGUGUGGGACCCUAUCGACGGGUUCCGUGCCGUAGCUAACGCAUUAAGUGCCCCGCCUGGGGAGUACGGCCGCAAGGCUA